This 81-nucleotide non-coding RNA is filed under the name Geobacter sp. RNAcentral describes it as "c-di-GMP sequence". It matches the Rfam family "c-di-GMP-I riboswitch aptamer". Rfam says of the family: GEMM was predicted in a large-scale screen for bacterial structured RNA regulatory elements. Genes associated with GEMM are involved in a diverse array of functions, including chemotaxis regulation, signal transduction, secretion and chitin. The record is from RNAcentral. RNAcentral also lists the same sequence under 1 other name. Lineage: Bacteria; Pseudomonadati; Thermodesulfobacteriota; Desulfuromonadia; Geobacterales; Geobacteraceae.
CAAUAAUACUGCCAAACCCCGGGUGACCGGGGGACGGAACGCCACGGGACUAAACAGCUUAUAGUCGGCCGGGUUGCCGGA